UGGGGAAUUUUGGACAAUGGGCGAAAGCCUGAUCCAGCAAUGCCGCGUGUGUGAAGAAGGCCUUCGGGUUGUAAAGCACUUUUGUCCGGAAAGAAAUCCUUGGCUCUAAUACAGUCGGGGGAUGACGGUACCGGAAGAAUAAGCACCGGCUAACUACGUGCCAGCAGCCGCGGUAAUACGUAGGGUGCAAGCGUUAAUCGGAAUUACUGGGCGUAAAGCGUGCGCAGGCGGUUUGCUAAGACCGAUGUGAAAUCCCCGGGCUCAACCUGGGAACUGCAUUGGUGACUGGCAGGCUAGAGUAUGGCAGAGGGGGGUAGAAUUCCACGUGUAGCAGUGAAAUGCGUAGAGAUGUGGAGGAAUACCGAUGGCGAAGGCAGCCCCCUGGGCCAAAUACUGACGCUCAUGCACGAAAGCGUGGGGAGCAAACAGGAUUAGAUACCCUGGUAGUCCACGCCCUAAACGAUGUCAACUAGUUGUUGGGGAUUCAUUUCCUUAGUAACGUAGCUAGCGCGUGAAGUUGACCGCCUGGGGAGUACGGUCGCAAGAUUAAAACUUAAAUGAAUUGACGGGGUCAUAGCUGUUUCCU
RNAcentral lists this ribosomal RNA (586 nucleotides) under uncultured bacterium. RNAcentral describes it as "partial 16S ribosomal RNA". It matches the Rfam family "Bacterial small subunit ribosomal RNA", at positions 355 to 1375 of the family's 1533-position model. The record is from RNAcentral.